GACAGAGGGUGCAAGCGUUGUUCGGAAUUACUGGGCGUAAAGCGCGUGUAGGCUGCUUCGAAAAUCGGAUGUGAAAGCCCUGGGCUCAACCUAGGAAGUGCAUUCGAAACUUCGAAGCUGGAAUCCUGGAGAGGAAGGCGGAAUUCUCGGUGUAGAGGUGAAAUUCGUAGAUAUCGAGAGGAACACCGGUGGCGAAGGCGGCCUUCUGGACAGUGACUGACGCUGAGACGCGAAAGCGUGGGGAGCAAACAGG
This 253-nucleotide ribosomal RNA is filed under the name uncultured bacterium. RNAcentral's name for it is "partial 16S ribosomal RNA". It matches the Rfam family "Bacterial small subunit ribosomal RNA", at positions 524 to 776 of the family's 1533-position model. The record is from RNAcentral.